RNAcentral lists this ribosomal RNA (484 nucleotides) under uncultured bacterium. Its description in RNAcentral is "partial 16S ribosomal RNA". It matches the Rfam family "Bacterial small subunit ribosomal RNA", at positions 30 to 507 of the family's 1533-position model. The record is from RNAcentral.
AUUGAACGCUAGCGGGAUGCUUUACACAUGCAAGUCGAACGGCAGCGCGGACUUCGGUCUGGCGGCGAGUGGCGAACGGGUGAGUAAUGUAUCGGAACGUGCCCAGUAGCGGGGGAUAACUACGCGAAAGCGUAGCUAAUACCGCAUACGCCCUACGGGGGAAAGCCAGGGAUCGUAAGACCUUGCACUAUUGGAUCGGCCGAUACCGGAUUAGCUAGUUGGUGAGGUAACGGCUCACCAAGGCGACGAUCCGUAGCUGGUUUGAGAGGCCGACCGGCCACACUGGAACUGAGACACGGCCCAGACUCCUACGGGAGGCAGCAGUGGGGAAUUUUGGACAAUGGGGGCAACCCUGAUCCAGCCAUCCCGCGUGUGCGAUGAAGGCCUUCGGGUUGUAAAGCACUUUUGGCAGGAAAGAAACGUCGCGGGCUAAUACACCGUGGAACUGACGGUACCUGCAGAAUAAGCACCGGCUAACUACGUG